CUGUGCUAGAUGGGGAGGUAGCGGUGCCCUGUUGCCUGCAAUCCGCUAUAGCAGGAUCGAAUUCCCCGCCGAGGCCCUGUGCUUGUGGCGCUGCCUCCGGCACGUGGUGAUGAGGACUGGGUCCCGUGCAACGGAAGCUCAUGAAUCCCGUCAGGUCCGGAAGGAAGCAGCGGUAAGUGAUCCCUUUCGUGUGUUGCGGGUCAGCCUGGUCUGAGCCGGCGACCGGAGUACCGGCUGUGAGGCAUGGUCAGAGUGGGGUGCACAG
This 265-nucleotide signal recognition particle RNA is filed under the name Anoxynatronum buryatiense. RNAcentral describes it as "alkaliphilic bacterium Su22 Bacterial large signal recognition particle RNA". It matches the Rfam family "Bacterial large signal recognition particle RNA". Rfam says of the family: The signal recognition particle (SRP) is a universally conserved ribonucleoprotein involved in the co-translational targeting of proteins to membranes. Archaeal SRP consists of a 7S RNA and homologues of the eukaryotic SRP19 and SRP54 proteins. Lineage: Bacteria; Bacillati; Bacillota; Clostridia; Eubacteriales; Clostridiaceae. The record is from Rfam by way of RNAcentral.